RNAcentral lists this ribosomal RNA (257 nucleotides) under uncultured bacterium. Its description in RNAcentral is "partial 16S ribosomal RNA". It matches the Rfam family "Bacterial small subunit ribosomal RNA", at positions 795 to 1052 of the family's 1533-position model. The record is from RNAcentral.
CCACACUGUAAACGAUGGAUACUAGAUGUAGGAGGUAUCAACUCCUUCUGUGUCGUAGCAAACGCAUUAAGUAUCCCACCUGGGGAGUACGGUCGCAAGGCUGAAACUCAAAGAAAUUGACGGGGACCCGCACAAGCAGCGGAGCAUGUGGUUUAAUUCGAAGCAACGCGAAGAACCUUACCAAGACUUGACAUUGGAUGACGUUACUAGAGAUAGUAAUUUCCUUCGGGACAUCUAAACAGGUGGUGCAUGGUUGU